Molecule: ribosomal RNA, 221 nt
Filed under: Enterococcus faecium
Lineage: Bacteria; Bacillati; Bacillota; Bacilli; Lactobacillales; Enterococcaceae
Description: partial 16S ribosomal RNA
Rfam family: Bacterial small subunit ribosomal RNA
Source: RNAcentral
GCAUGAAGCCGGAAUCGCUAGUAAUCGCGGAUCAGCACGCCGCGGUGAAUACGUUCCCGGGCCUUGUACACACCGCCCGUCACACCACGAGAGGUUGUAACACCCGAAGUCGGUGAGGUAACCUUUUGGAGCCAGCCGCCUAAGGUGGGAUAGAUGAUUGGGGUGAAGUCGUAACAAGGUAGCCGUAUCGGAAGGUGCGGCUGGAUCACCUCCUUUCUAAG